CGGUCGAAGUUCACACAUGCAAGUCGAGCGGUGAAGGGAGCUUGCUCCUGGAUUCAGCGGCGGACGGGUGAGUAAUGCCUAGGAAUCUGCCUGGUAGUGGGGGAUAACGUCCGGAAACGGGCGCUAAUACCGCAUACGUCCUGAGGGAGAAAGUGGGGGAUCUUCGGACCUCACGCUAUCAGAUGAGCCUAGGUCGGAUUAGCUAGUUGGUGGGGUAAAGGCCUACCAAGGCGACGAUCCGUAACUGGUCUGAGAGGAUGAUCAGUCACACUGGAACUGAGACACGGUCCAGACUCCUACGGGAGGCAGCAGUGGGGAAUAUUGGACAAUGGGCGAAAGCCUGAUCCAGCCAUGCCGCGUGUGUGAAGAAGGUCUUCGGAUUGUAAAGCACUUUAAGUUGGGAGGAAGAGCAGUAAGUUAAUACCUUGCUGUUUUGACGUUACCAACAGAAUAAGCACCGGCUAACUUCGUGCCAGCAGCCGCGGUAAUACGAAGGGUGCAAGCGUUAAUCGGAAUUACUGGGCGUAAAGCGCGCGUAGGUGGUUCAGCAAGUUGGAUGUGAAAUCCCCGGGCUCAACCUGGGAACUGCAUCCAAAACUACUGAGCUAGAGUACGGUAGAGGGUGGUGGAAUUUCCUGUGUAGCGGUGAAAUGCGUAGAUAUAGGAAGGAACACCAGUGGCGAAGGCGACCAC
This 693-nucleotide ribosomal RNA is filed under the name Ectopseudomonas oleovorans. Its description in RNAcentral is "bacterial SSU rRNA". It matches the Rfam family "Bacterial small subunit ribosomal RNA", at positions 40 to 728 of the family's 1533-position model. Lineage: Bacteria; Pseudomonadati; Pseudomonadota; Gammaproteobacteria; Pseudomonadales; Pseudomonadaceae. The record is from RNAcentral.